This 424-nucleotide ribosomal RNA is filed under the name uncultured archaeon. RNAcentral's name for it is "bacterial SSU rRNA". It matches the Rfam family "Archaeal small subunit ribosomal RNA", at positions 574 to 997 of the family's 1478-position model. The record is from RNAcentral.
GCUGGAGAUACUAUUAGACUGAGACCGGGAGAGGUUAGAGGUACGUCCCAGGGUAGAGGUGAAAUUCUGUAAUCCUGGGAGGACCGCCUGUUGCGAAGGCGUCUAACUGGAACGGUUCUGACGGUGAGGGACGAAAGUUAGGGGCGCGAACCGGAUUAGAUACCCGGGUAGUCCUAACUGUAAGCGAUGCGGACUUGGUGUUGGGGUGGGCUUUGAGCUGCUUCAGUGCCGAAGGGAAGCUGUUAAGUCCGCCGCCUGGGAAGUACGGUCGCAAGACUGAACUUAAAGGAAUUGGCGGGGGAGCACCACAACGCGUGGAGCCUGCGGUUUAAUUGGAUUCAACGCCGGACAUCUCACCAGAGGCGACAGCUGUAUGAUAGCCAGGUUGAUGACUUUGCUUGACUAGCUGAGGGGAGGUGCAUGG